RNAcentral lists this ribosomal RNA (488 nucleotides) under uncultured bacterium. RNAcentral describes it as "bacterial SSU rRNA". It matches the Rfam family "Bacterial small subunit ribosomal RNA", at positions 8 to 507 of the family's 1533-position model. The record is from RNAcentral.
AGAGUUUGAUCAUGGCUCAGGAUGAACGCUGGCGGCGUGCCUAAUACAUGCAAGUCGAACGAGGUGCUUUGUAGCAAUACGAGAGUAUCCUAGUGGCGAACGGGUGAGUAACGCGUUGGUGACCUACCCCAAAGUGUGGGAUAACAGUCCGAAAGGAUUGCUAAUACCGCAUGUGGUCUUCGGGUUUAGAAACUGAUGACUAAAGGAGCAAUUCGCUUUGGGAGGGACCUGCGUCCCAUCAGCUAGUUGGUGAGGUAAUGGCUCACCAAGGCUACGACGGGUAGGGGACCUGAGAGGGUGACCCCCCACAAUGGAACUGAAACACGGUCCAUACACCUACGGGUGGCAGCAGUAGGGAAUAUUGCACAAUGGGCGAAAGCCUGAUGCAGCAACGCCGCGUGUGCGAUGAAGGCCUUCGGGUCGUAAAGCACUUUUCUGGGAGAUGAGCAAGGACAGUAUCUCAGGAAUAAGUCUCGGCUAACUACGUG